Carassius gibelio (silver crucian carp) is the source of this 1763-nucleotide long non-coding RNA. RefSeq lists it as uncharacterized. The transcript is spliced from 3 exons. NCBI's taxonomy places the organism in Eukaryota, Metazoa, Chordata, Actinopteri, Cypriniformes, Cyprinidae. The record is from RefSeq and is a predicted model, not a curated record.
AAUAAUAAUUAAAGCUGCAAGCAGCGAUGAACGGGCCCUCGCACCCGGGCUCACCGGCAGUGAGUGGCUUUAGUUAAUAGGUGAACGGUGAGAAAUAUGCGUUUAAACUCAUAAAUAUAAGUAGAAUAUAUCAAUGUUUAUUCCAUAUAUGUGCCAAUCUUCCUGUUGCCAGCAGGUGGCGCUAUCAUUAUAAUGGAAUAUUGGCCUUCAGAUGUGUUCAGGGCAGGAGUUUUAUCGAACAUGUGAGGUUUGGGGAGGAUUGGACAUUUUAUGCCUGAGUUACAACAACAUCCUAUUUCAUGGCGAAACAUCGAAAUUUGUCAGGCCGCCAUGGACACGCCCUUUAACGAAACCUCAAGAUCUUCGCAAUUUAUUAUCGCAAAGGGCUUUAGAUUACACUGACCAAGUUUGGUGUUGAUCUGAAUAAAUCUCUAGGAGGAGUUCGUUAAAGUACAACCCCUGAAAAUGGCAAAAACAACACCAAUUUUGAAGGGAAAAUUCAAAAUAACUGACUUCCUGUUGGGAUCCGGAUUUCGUACCAAGAGACUUUUUUGUAGGUAUUGGAGUGUUACAUGUGUGUACCAAUUUUUGUACAUGUACGUGAAACAUAGCUCGAGGCGCACUCCGUUGAAAGUGUAUAGGUGGCGCUAUAGAGCCAUUCUGCCACACCCGGUGGAAUAUUGGCCUGCAGAUCUGUUCAGGCCAGGACUCUUAUCACACAUGUGAAGUUUGGGGAAGAUCGGAAAUUUUAUGCCUGAGUUAUAACAUCUUUUAUUCCCAUGGCGAGACAUCGAACUUCGUCGCGGCGCCAUGAACAAGCCUUUUAACGAAAACUCAAGAUCUUCACAACUGAACAUCGCACAGGCCUUUAGAUUAGACUGACCACAAAAAAGACAUUGAUGUCAUAAAAUUUCUAGGAGUAGUUCGUCGCAGCGUAAAAUAUGUCACUUCCUGUUGCCAAUAGGUGGCGCUAUGACUAUAACUGAAUAUGGGCAUGUCAAUCUGUUCAGGUUCGGAGUCUCAUCAAACAUGUGAAGUUUGGGGCAGAUUGGACAUUGUAUGUGUGAGUUAAAGCAACUUCAUUUUUCAUGGCGAAUCAUCGAAAUUCGCCAGGCCGCCACGAACACGCCCUUCAACGAAAACUCAAGAUCUUCGCAAUUUAACAUCGCAAAGGCCUUUAGAUUAGGCAUACCAAAUUUGGUGUUGAUUUGAAGAACUCUCUAGGAGGAGUUCGUUAAAAUACAACACAUGGAAAUGACCAACAUUACACAAAAUAUGCUCAUAAUAUUAAAAAUAACCGACUUCCUGUUGGGUUUAGAAUUUCGCUCCAAGAGUCUUUUUUGUAGGUAUUGGUGUGUUACAUAUGUGUGCCAAUUUUCAUGCAUGUACGUGAAACAUAGCUGGAAGGCUGUUGAUUUUCUUGGUAUAGGUGGCGCUGUCGAGCCAUUUUGCCACACCCUCUUCUGAAUCCUAUAUCAGACGAAAAUUUUCACCAGGUUUGACGCGUGUGCAAAGUUUCAUGACUUUUUGAGCAUGUUAAAGCCCUCAAAAAUGCGAUUCAUUCGGGAGAAGAAGAAGAAGAAGAAUAAUUAAAGCUGCAAGCAGCGAUGAACGGGCCCUCGCACCCGGGCUCACCGCCAUCGUGUGGCUUUAGUAAAAAGGUGAACGUUGAGAAAUAUGCAUUUAAACUCAUAAAUAUAAGUGCAAUAUAUCAAAGUUUAUUCCAUAUGUGUGCCAAUCUUCCUGUUGCCAGCAGGUGGCGC